This 507-nucleotide ribosomal RNA is filed under the name uncultured bacterium. RNAcentral describes it as "partial 16S ribosomal RNA". It matches the Rfam family "Bacterial small subunit ribosomal RNA", at positions 28 to 507 of the family's 1533-position model. The record is from RNAcentral.
GACGAACGCUGGCGGCGUGCCUAAUACAUGCAAGUCGAACGCAUUUUCUUUCACCGUAGCUUGCUACACCGAAAGAAAAUGAGUGGCGAACGGGUGAGUAACACGUAGGUAACCUGCCCAUCAGCGGGGGAUAACACUUGGAAACAGGUGCUAAUACCGCAUAAUUCCAUUUACUGCAUGGUAGAUGGAUGAAAGGCGCUUUUGCGUCACUGAUGGAUGGACCCGCGGUGCAUUAGCUAGUUGGUGGGGUAACGGCCUACCAAGGCUGCGAUGCAUAGCCGACCUGAGAGGGUGAUCGGCCAAACUGGGACUGAGACACGGCCCAGACUCCUACGGGAGGCAGAAGUAGGGAAUCUUCGGCAAUGGACGCAAGUCUGACCGAGCAACGCCGCGUGAGUGAAGAAGGUUUUAGGAUCGUAAAACUCUGUUGUUAGAAAAGAACAAGGAUGAGAGUGGAAAGUUCAUCCCUUGACGGUAUCUAACCAGAAAGCCACGGCUAACUACGCG